GGCUGCAGGCAGGCGCUCAACUACUGAGCCGCCUGGGUGCCCCCGCCCCCCAACAUGUAUUCCUUAAGAGCCUUUUAGUUUCUGAUGUGGGCAAAAUAUGGUUUUAGUUCUCUUUUAAUUUCUAGAUGCCCCAUUCCCACACCCGUCCCACUCGGGGGUUCUCAGGGCCUCGGUCCCCAUGGGAGCCCGAGGAGGAAGCCGCCAACACCAGCAAGGGUCUGGAAGGCUGCAGCGCCGGGACCACUGUGUCCCACAUCACAUGCUGGGAAACUCGUGUGCCCCGGUUUAGAAAGUGCUGCUAUGGCAUUCCCUGCAGUCUAUGUUGCUAGGAGAGGAUGGAUUCAGAAGCUGUGGGCUUUCCCGCCUUUCGAGCAGCCCCUGUCAACACCUCCUAAAUAACCAGUGGUAAACUGCUUGUCAAAAUGAUGGAGAGCCGCUUGCUUCCUGUUUCCUUCUCAAGGGCACAAACUCUCACCUCAUCACCAGGCUAGCAGGUCCUUUGUCCAGGCAUCGUAUGGCUACAGAACUAGUGGCAUUCACAGCCAAGCAGCAGAUUGUCGAUGGAUUUGGAUAAGUCACAAUACAGGCACGAGCAAAGCUGCUUUAAAGACAAUAUUUCAAGGAGAAAGCAGCAUAUGGGAAAUGCAAUCCUAUCCAUAAUUAGCAAUUAUUUAGUAAGGUGGCUUUUCCCCCUCAUUUGAUUGAAGAGCCACUCAAAUCAUGUUUUAAUUUCCAGUGCAUUUGGGGGAGGAGCAAAACGUUCAAAAUAUUACUUUAUGAAGAGACAUAAAAUUAGUCAAAAAUGGAUAAUGUGUAUAUAAAGCAUCAACGUCAACAAACACUGCUAAAUCACACGGUGAACGUGAACGAGAGCCGUAAAAAGGCGCUUGAUAGGGAUAUGGAUCCAGAUACGUUUUUUUGUUUGUUUGUUUGCAAAUUCUUACCUGUCAGUAAGUGGGAUGACAAUAAAAUCUAC
Canis lupus familiaris (dog) is the source of this 976-nucleotide long non-coding RNA. RefSeq lists it as uncharacterized. The record is from RefSeq and is a predicted model, not a curated record. The transcript is spliced from 3 exons. Lineage: Eukaryota; Metazoa; Chordata; Mammalia; Carnivora; Canidae.